This 842-nucleotide long non-coding RNA is filed under the name Daucus carota (carrot). RNAcentral describes it as "long non-coding RNA (DCAR_LNC004138)". The record is from RNAcentral. Lineage: Eukaryota; Viridiplantae; Streptophyta; Magnoliopsida; Apiales; Apiaceae.
UCAAUUUUAGUUGUCCGUUUCAUAUACGAAAAUGAGCUCAUUAUAAUCGAACUUGUUUUUCAAAUCAAAGCCAAACCGGCGAGUAUAAUUUUCAAUUCUUAGAAAACAAAAAUACAUGGCUGUGGUUCUGAUUUCAUUCAAAAAUGGAUCCGACUGGCAGGUUAUACGAUACAGAAUAACAGAAAAAGAUUAUACUACCAACAUAAGUAUUUCGGUAAUAGAAUAAGAUAUCAUGUCAUAUUGAUGAUAGAGUAAAUCAACUAAAAUCUGACACAGUAAAUCUACUAAACAGAUCAUUACACGGCUGUAGAAGUGUGAUCUGUCUUAGAUUAAUUCAAAUAAAUAUAAAAUAAAUUACAAGGCUGCCAAGGAGAAGGGCCUGGUUUUUGAGAUUGUAACUGUAUUGUAACUUUCAAUUGUAUGUGCCGAUUUCCGAUAGCUUUUUUCUUGAAAAAGAUCUAUUGCUCUGCCAACCUCGGAUUGACAUGAAUUGAGGUUGCACAUACCGUGAAUCAACCCAUAGAAGUGUGACCUGUGUUGCACAGAUAGUUAAUAACCAAUGAUGGCGUAAGGAGAAAAAGAAGGGUGAUGGCUUGCUUGAAGCAUCGAUCGAACAGAAGAUGAGUAAUUUGGGGAUCGAUACGGGGGCUAGGGUUUGACGUGAAGAUAAUGGAGGAUGUAGAUAUUGGAGGCGGAGUGAUGAUUUUGUAGCCAAUUGGAUAUAUAUAAAAGAAUUAGUUGGGCUUGGAUAACUACCAGUCUACUACUAUAGCAUCGUGCUGAUAUGUUGGGCUUCUGCUUGACUAUUGAUUAUGAUUCCUUUUAUUUACGAUAUCACGUAA